CCCCGCCCCACCGCGCCGAUUGGCUGGCAGCGGCUCCGCCCAGGUCCUGCAGGUCGCCUCUCCAACAUCUAUUUGCCUUUAGCUCAGGCCUGGCUCCUGAGCUCCUCUUGAUCAGAGAACCACGUACCACUUUGCCUCUGCACGGAUAUCCCACAAGCACCUCAGACUUGGCAUACCUCAACCUGAACUCAUCGCUUCCUUCCCACAACCUGCCCCUUCCUGAGUUUAUCUCAGCAAAUGGCACCAGCAAUCCCUGGCAUUUAUAACUCCAAACCUUCCUCUCUCACUGGGCAUAUUUGUUGACUUCCUACUCUGUGCUCCCACACAUCUUUCUAAAUACCCUACUCUAAAAAGACUUGAUACUUUUUCUUUGGCCAGCUAAAUCAAUCAUAGUGUUUCACGCAGUUCUUGGAAAUGCACUUGAUACCUUCAAUGGGUUCAGGCUCUAGUCUGAAACUCUUCUGUUUGCCUCCCUCAGUAGUAGGUAGUUAGACAUGAACAGAGCAGGAAUAAUAGGCCAGGUGCAGAGGGUCACCAGGACAAGAGCCCCAGGUGCCUAGCAAUGGGCAAAAACUACAAGCCCUUGUAGAGGACUACUCUCUUAAGCAUUAACCCCUGGAGAUGACAUCUAGGCCUCAGCUGGAUUUCAGCUCCAGGCCCAGACAAGCAGCAAAAUCAGACUGAGCUACUGCCCUAACUGACAUUAGGGUCUGCUGCAUUGACUAACAACCCCAUCCUGGCACCGACCAUUCAGUGGAAACCACAAACCUGAUGGGGAACACCUGGAAAGCUGAUGCAUACUCUGUUGAGAGCCUUCCCUGAGAUGUUAUGACAGGGACCUUGUGUGUGCUCUUUCUUUUUCUGGAGCAUCUACGUGCCUUUCCCCUUUCUUCCUCUUUCUCAUCUCUCAAGGUACACCCAUAUCUAUCUAUCUAUCUAUCUAUCUAUCUAUCUAUCUAUCUAUCUAUCUAUCAUCUAUCUAUCUAUCUACCUCCCCCUACCCCACCAAGCUCCAAGGGCCCUUCUUUUGACUCUGUAACUUGUUUCCUGAGCCCAUUUUUUUUUACGGCUCUCUUCUUCUACAUCUGUGACUUUCUAAAUAAACUUUCUGUUAUAGUUUGA
This is a long non-coding RNA of Artibeus jamaicensis (Jamaican fruit-eating bat), 1122 nucleotides long. RefSeq lists it as uncharacterized. Lineage: Eukaryota; Metazoa; Chordata; Mammalia; Chiroptera; Phyllostomidae. The record is from RefSeq and is a predicted model, not a curated record. The transcript is spliced from 2 exons.